Molecule: ribosomal RNA, 468 nt
Filed under: uncultured bacterium
Lineage: Bacteria
Description: partial 16S ribosomal RNA
Rfam family: Bacterial small subunit ribosomal RNA
Source: RNAcentral
GACGAACGCUGGCGGCGUGCUUAACACAUGCAGGUCGAACGGAAAGGCCCUGCUUUUGUGGGGUGCUCGAGUGGCGAACGGGUGAGUAACACGUGAGUAACCUGCCCUUGACUUUGGGAUAACUUCAGGAAACUGGGGCUAAUACCGGAUAGGAGCUCCUGCUGCAUGGUGGGGGUUGGAAAGUUUCGGCGGUUGGGGAUGGACUCGCGGCUUAUCAGCUUGUUGGUGGGGUAGUGGCUUACCAAGGCUUUGACGGGUAGCCGGCCUGAGAGGGUGACCGGCCACAUUGGGACUGAGAGACGGCCCAGACUCCUACGGGAGGCAGCAGUGGGGAAUAUUGCACAAUGGGCGGAAGCCUGAUGCAGCAACGCCGCGUGCGGGAUGACGGCCUUCGGGUUGUAAACCGCUUUCGCCUGUGACGAAGCGUGAGUGACGGUAAUGGGUAAAGAAGCACCGGCUAACUACGUG